This is a long non-coding RNA of Lates calcarifer (barramundi perch), 4991 nucleotides long. RefSeq lists it as uncharacterized. NCBI's taxonomy places the organism in Eukaryota, Metazoa, Chordata, Actinopteri, Centropomidae. The record is from RefSeq and is a predicted model, not a curated record. The transcript has 2 exons.
ACAAGAUUGGAGAGUCUCUGAUAAUGAGAAAUCUUGUAUAUCCUGAAUAUAUAUAUAUAUUUUUUUCUUUAGACACGAUGUAAAAUAGCCUUACUUUUAAAUGGAUGACCAUGGAUUUUUGAAGUGUAUGCUUUAAGGGAAUUCUUCAUUCCCACACUUUUGACAAAAAAACAUUCAACUCAAGUUAAAAUAGGCAACAAAAAACUAUUCUAUUUAUUUAUGUAUCUAAAGAGGUCAUCCAAUUGAAAUAACGAUGUGAUAAUGAAAACUGAAGCAGAGCUUAGUUAAAAUACUGGAAAACCAUAAACUGACCAAACACAACCACACACAUACACAUGCCACACAUGUGUAUACUUUGUUGCACUGUUUAUCAGACAACCACUACUUAAGACAAUCCUGCUAUAAACCCUGUACUGUCACUAGAGUAAAUAAAUUUCACUUAUUCAUUUAACCCACCAUUUUCAGCUUGUCAGGGGAUUUCAACCAGCAAUCUAUCACAAGCAUUACAUUAAUGUCAGAUAGCGUUAUUCAAAUUCAGCCAUUACUCACUGGUGUUUUGUUGGAGGCAUUUACUUAGACAAAGACAGCUUUCAAAUACUUUGAAAUGUGUCAUUUUAAGUUUACAUUAUUCUUUAGCAACAGUUUCUACUUAGAUAGUUAAAACUGAGACCAUUGAAAAUACAUUCAGAUAAACUUGUCCUGAGGUUGGUUAAAAACAAAACAGGUCAAGGGAUGUUAAUCUUAGCCUCCACGUGAACAGAGUAUUAACAUUGUUUUAAUGAGCAUAGGUCCCAGAGCUGAACACUAAUUUUAUUCAUGUUGGAUUCCAGGCUGAAAAAUUAAAAAACAAACAAAAAACACAAAAACACACACACACAAAAAAACAACUUUGGCCUUAACAUAAUAGUGCUAUGCUUGCCAAUGGUCAGUUGGUUAUGCAAGCCAAGCUGGUGUUAUAUAAACUCAUUCAGUCCCAGAUACACCACAGGCUCAGCAGAGGUCAACGUCAGAACCACAAGGAUUAGAAAAGAUCAUAGUUUGAUCUCAUAGUGGGAUCAGAAGCCAGAGAGAGAGGGAUCCACAGUUGAAGUUUUGGUGGUUAGAGAGAUCAGAGCCCUGCGACAACCCUGAGGAUGCUUGAUCAAAGCACUGAAUUCCAACCUGUACUGUCUAUACUAUUCUUUUCUAUUCUAUUGAUUUUAUUCUUACAUUUUCAGCACCCAGUUUAUUUACUUGACUAAUUCUGAUCACUCUGGCCAAUAAGAGGAAUUGAAUUCUUGCUCCGUUACUGUUGCUACAACCGUCUAGCUUUCCAUUUUUGCACAGUACAUAUACAGUUUAUCGGUGAUGAUGUAGGCAGAUUAAACACUAAAAUUCGGUAGUAAUUUUUGAGAAAAAAAGUGUCUCAACAAAAACAUGAAAUGAGCUGGCAGACACUUGGUUAUGAUGCUCCCACGCAGUGACUACAGAUUCUGUUGCAGCUUCAACAGUCCUCCUAGUAUCCACAAACCUCCACACUAAUAGGUAAUCUAAAAACUCUGGUUCAUUCAACACGCAUGUCUUGCAUUUGAAGACACUGUGUCACCCUUUAAAAAGCCCAGAGGAAACAAACUCCUUUUAGAAAGGAGCAGGGUUCAGCGGGGGACUGAGCAGUGAUUUGUUGAAAUUUAACAAUCAAAGACGAUCACACAGAAGCAUUUCUUUCUGUCACGGUUACUUUUCCCCCCAUUAUAAGGAUAAAUACAUCAUUAAAAAGAGUAGUGCCAUUCGCUUUCAGCUCCCUUCAAAUCACUCUGAGAUCGUUAGUGAGGAGAUAAAAUUUCAUGAAGCUGAUGGGGGAGAGGAAAAUGAGUUAGAGUCAGGGUGGGAGAGGAGAAGGCAGAGGGAGGACAUGGAGAUGCAGAAUGAGAAAAAUGAGAGUAGAUCAGGUCAGAGGAUGUCAAAAAGUAAUGGGAGGAAACUUCACGACACUGGAAUGUAUAGCACAGCAGAGGACUCAAACUAUACUCUUCAUCAGGCUGCUGUGAACUUUGUUUGGUUCUUGGCGAGCAAAUAGACAGUGGGUUUAAACUGGAAACAGCUACGUGCUGUGACUGAUGAGAGUGGUGAGAGUGAACUAAGAAAAAAAAAACAGCAAAAUGAAAGCUAAAAUGCUCCAUAGAGCUGAGGGAAACCACUGAGUCACUAACAAACAACCAUGGCAUUUUUCUGCCUAAACUGAGCCAAACUUCAGCCAUUGCGGUGUCAGAUCAUAAAACAGUGUUUUGUUACAGUUUUGGAAGACAGAUGAUACUGUCCUGCCAAUAGAAGCAUCAGAUCAAAAAAUGCUGGAGGCCAUGGACAAACACUGUAUUUUGUUGGCUUAAUUUGAAUGGCUUGUUGGAAAUAUGGUGCAUUAUCAGGCCAUCCAGUACUGUAUGUAAAAAUGGGGACUCUUCACCUACUUUUAGUCCCUGUGAGUUAAACUUGGCAGUCAGCAGCAGUAGCUUCACACAUACUAAUGCCAUUCUUUAUGCUACUAUCCUGUCUCAGAUAACGUGUCAACAUACUGCAGUCUAGUCAGAAUGGAUCAUACAGCCAAUGUCUUACAGUUCACGUAUAUGUGUUUAUACAUAUGCAUGUGUUUGCACAUGCAUCUUGCUAUCUCCCAGUUGAGAUCCAGCCUGUGUGAACUGCGUUAUUGUCCUGUCAGUGCUCUGCAGCGUAAUGAGCUGUAAUGUGCGUCUCGUUCUCCCCAGCCCAAGCUUCCUAUCCAGUUCCUCCCCCCCCCCCCCCCCCGCUUGAUGUCCCAGAGGGAAGUAUGUCCCUGAUGGCUAUUAGGGCGGUCAGAGCUGAUCGUAUCACUGCGGCUGACUUUAUUCAAAGAUUAUUCUGCAGACAGAAUAGAACUAACUUCAGCCGUCAGAGAUGAAGACAGAGCCUAAAGGAGCGGACAGAGAGUAAGAUGAGCAGAGAUGAGGAAAAAUUACUCAUCUGAGAUAAAGAGUGGCAAUGAGUGACACAAGAAGUGAAAAAGGAAGAUGUGGAGGAGAGAUGGGAGAUAAUGAGGCAGGAAAUGCUCAUUUUCAUCUCAGCCAUUAGUACAUUUACCCACAAGGAAAAAGAUGCUGUUUAAGAACAAGAGUGGGAAGACGGGAGAGAGUGGAGAGGACAGAGGUGGAUGGAAAUAAUAGCAUUAAUAAUGGUCAGAAUCAGAAUGAGUGAGAAUAAGAGUGAGUUAGUAAAUCAGGAAACAAGAAGCAAGGACAUGAGCAUAUAGUAAACAUUUUAUUCACCUACAUUUCUAAUUAACUAACAACUGAUAACACUUUCUUUUAUUCGUUGCAGUGACAAUGCAUACUUAUUUACUUACUUCCCACAAUGCUAUAGUGUCUUUAUUGUAGUUAUGCAGUUAACUGAUUAAGCAUGUAAAUGAGCUCAUUUCAUGCCUGUAGUCAUGAUGACCAGACAUUUACCACAGACCUCAGGGAAACCUGGGUCAGAGUUUAUUUCUAGUCCUCACCACUUCAUAACCACUAUUAGCAACCACACAGUACAUAUUCACAACUGUUACACUCCAGACAGAGUGUGUUUGUGGUCUUUGUCUGGUCAGUAGGGGCUCAGGCGUCCACUGGUCACCACCACCUAUAGUUUGUACCUCUGCCAACUCAACCACUGUCCAAUCACGAGACAGUUUCUGUGGACGCAUGGACCCACAGUUUCAGCCAAUUAGAUACCAUCAGCUUUUGGAACAGACUCAAUGGACUCCACAACAAAGGAAAGAAUGCACACUUAAGUAUCUGUUAUUGCGGACAGGACAAUUUACACGAGCCUCCAACCAGGCAGUUAUGGGCUUCUUUCCUUUAUCUUGCUACAGACAAGAACUGCUUGUAAAAUCAAACCGAAGCGAAGGAUAAAAUCUCUUCACCUAUCACCAACCCAGUAAUCCCAGCUACUCAACCACUCCACCGCAAGAUCGUCAUCACUGAUCUUCAUACAGGAGAUGCACCGAGUACAACAGCUCAGACAGAUGACAAUAAAACUGGUUUGACAAAAUAAGCUGAGAAACUACAUCAUGGCACUGACUUCAUUCUGAUCCACUUUCCUGUAUGUGGAUGACCAUGUUCUAAAUAAUUAUACAAAAUGGAUUUGCAUGGAGAGGGACUCUAGCCUGUGUAAAAAUAGUGUGGUGACAUGAAAUCCUUAUCUGGAUGAGGACGAAAAAUACCAGCAGCAUAUAAUGGCAAUCUCUGAGCCCUGAUGACACUGAUCGGCAUAAAAGGUUUCUGUCUGGAGUCGAUUUGAACACUGGUAAUUGAAGAUUUACAGUUACUGUGAAAACAAUAUGGGACUGACAGGAGGACACAGUUGUACAGAUAAGACAUUCAAACUGUGAUGCAACUGUUAGUGUAAAGCUUGUCUCUUACUUUUUAGACAGCACAACUGUACAAGCAUGAAAUUAAUGAUUUGUUUAUUUCAAAUGUCAUGAUUUAUUGGGGACAGGAUGAUGAAUUUGUACUUUGUACUAGAAGCUGUGGUUAGGCUUCACUGUGAAGGCUAAGGCCAAAAUAUAAGGGAAAUAGCAUUGUAGCAUUAUAGUAUCUUAGCAUUACAGCAUUGUGUGUACCUCACUUGACAUGCAUGGCUAUUACAUUUCUCUGUUUCCCUUUACUGUCCUCCUUGAUGGAGUAAACUGUUUGCCUCCUCACAAAUAAGUACGACAAACUUAGCUUAGCUUAGAUUCAUUAGUUACUAUAUACUUAUGUGUAAGGGUUUUGCUUUAGAUUUGAUUCAAUGUUCUUUCUGUAGCUUAGUUUUAAGUUUUAUUUGAGAAUUCAUUUUUUUUUUGUGUAAAUUGUCAAUCAUGUCAUACAUCACAUUUCUUUACCUUUAAAUGGAGUUCAUUAAAGUUAGAACUUUCUACUUGCGUGGAUUGUGCAUGAAACACAUACAAUUUGAAAAUGAUGAGUUUUCUUAAUUUAUGCAUUAAAUAAAUGCUCAUUUAAAAUUGA